AUUGAACGCUGGCGGCAGGCUUAACACAUGCAAGUCGAACGGUAACAUAAAGAAGCUUGCUUCUUUGAUGACGAGUGGCGGACGGGUGAGUAAUGCUUGGGAAUCUAGCUUAUGGAGGGGGAUAACUACGGGAAACUGUAGCUAAUACCGCGUAGUAUCGGAAGAUGAAAGUGUGGGACCUUCGGGCCACAUGCCAUAGGAUGAGCCCAAGUGGGAUUAGGUAGUUGGUGAGGUAAAGGCUCACCAAGCCGACGAUCUCUAGCUGGUCUGAGAGGAUGACCAGCCACACUGGGACUGAGACACGGCCCAGACUCCUACGGGAGGCAGCAGUGGGGAAUAUUGCGCAAUGGGGGCAACCCUGACGCAGCCAUGCCGCGUGAAUGAAGAAGGCCUUCGGGUUGUAAAGUUCUUUCGGUAGCGAGGAAGGCAUUUAGUUUAAUAGACUAGGUGAUUGAC
This 456-nucleotide ribosomal RNA is filed under the name Parahaemophilus parainfluenzae. RNAcentral describes it as "Haemophilus parainfluenzae bacterial SSU rRNA". It matches the Rfam family "Bacterial small subunit ribosomal RNA", at positions 30 to 473 of the family's 1533-position model. Lineage: Bacteria; Pseudomonadati; Pseudomonadota; Gammaproteobacteria; Pasteurellales; Pasteurellaceae. The record is from RNAcentral.